AUGAAUUGUAUCAGCUGGAAUUGUCGUGGUUUGGGAAUGUCGACAAUUCGAGAACUCAGUGUCUUGAGAGAGACACACCAUCCCAAAAUUAUCUUUCUUUCUGAAACUCGUCAAAAGUGUGCUCGUUUGCGCCGUCUUAGGAAUCGAUUGGGUCUCAGUGGUUUUGCUGGAGUUGAUAGUGAUGGUCUGAGCGAUGGCUUAGCUUUGUUUUGGCAUGAGAGUCUGUCCGUUGAAGUCAAAGAUUUAAGUGAAAGGUUCAUUGGUGUUUCUUUGAGAUUGUCACCUUCUGCUCCUUUGUGGCAUGCAUCUUUUGUGUAUGGGGAACCUCGCUCUGAAAAUCGGCACCGCAUGGUGGACGUCGAUGUGUUCCCUUCGGGCGACCUCGCCGCUACCAUGGUUUGUAGUGGGUGA
This 411-nucleotide ribosomal RNA is filed under the name Triticum aestivum (bread wheat). RNAcentral's name for it is "partial small subunit ribosomal RNA". The record is from RNAcentral. Lineage: Eukaryota; Viridiplantae; Streptophyta; Magnoliopsida; Poales; Poaceae.